This 267-nucleotide unclassified non-coding RNA is filed under the name Phylloporus sp. RNAcentral's name for it is "partial contains small subunit ribosomal RNA, internal transcribed spacer 1, and 5.8S ribosomal RNA". The stretch from base 1 to 46 matches the Rfam family "Eukaryotic small subunit ribosomal RNA", at positions 1786 to 1831 of the family's 1831-position model. The record is from RNAcentral. Lineage: Eukaryota; Fungi; Basidiomycota; Agaricomycetes; Boletales; Boletaceae.
AAGUCGUAACAAGGUUUCCGUAGGUGAACCUGCGGAAGGAUCAUUAACAAAUUUGGGGGAUCUCCCGCCAUAAGCGCACGGUGGUCUGUGAUGGACCACUGUGGCGUCUGAGCCUGAGGGUUUAGGCGUCGAGGGAGGGCCAAGAGGCAGCAACUGCUGAUUGGCCCUUUUCUCACAUUUUGCCAUUUAUGCGUCGUCGUGUUUGUUGGGUUGACUGAUUGUGAAUUUAAUGUAAAAUAACUUUUAACAAUGGAUCUCUUGGCUCUU